CUUUAUUUACGAACCCUGUCACUGGUGAAUUAAACAGGAAUGAACUUUCCUUAGACCUGACUAAAAGUUACAUUUCUAUUCCAUUUGGUAUUCACUGUUGGUGAGUCUAUCUCCCAGAACUACAUAAGAAGAACAAGUUCAGCUUGGGCUUUACUUUAACAGAACAUAGAUCUAGAUCUAGAAUUGUAGACUAGAUUCAUUUUGUAUCCAAUCCAACUUACUUGGUAAAGACAGCAUGACUUCCAUUCACCCUGGUGGUAAUCCAUCUGCCCCUCCACCUUAUGACAGUGCUUAUCCCCCAACACAGGGCUACGGCCCCCCACCUCCAGCUUAUGGCUCAGGUCCUGCCUAUCCACCUCAAGGCUAUCCACCACCUCCACAAGGAUAUGGCCCACCACCACCCGCUGGCGGCUACGGACAACCGGGGUACUAUCAACAGCAGCCGUACGGGUACGGCCAUCCUGCUGGGACAUAUCAACAGCCACCAGCUGGUGCCUAUCAACAACCACCCCAACAAGUAGUGUAUGUGCAUGAAGAUAGACAUAAAGACCGUGACAAUUCUGCAGAAACUUGUUGCCUUCUGGCCUUAUGCAGUGCUCUUGUAUGCUGCUGUUUAUGGGAUUAACAAGUCAAGAAAGUUCUAGAGCAGCUAAGGAUGGUUUUUUGUUACAGGAGAACUUCAGAUCCAAAAACUCAUGCAAGCUCUUUCACUGGUGGUGUGGGUUACUAUUUUUGAACAUGCAGAUUUUUUUUUUGACCAAUUCAACAGGCAGAAUAUUUAUAAAGUCAAUGUUACAGAUCAUUUAUUAAUUUAAUGAGAUUUUUAAUAAUUGUAUUUUUGUAAAUAUUUUUAUAUCGACUUUAUAGAAGACAAACUAUGUCCAAAUCAAAAUCUCCAGAAAAUGAACUUGUAGAUUUCAUUCCCAUAAUUAUUAAAAAUAGUGCAAAAUAUCAAUUUAAAAAUAAUUUGAUUCUAGUUUUCUGAUAUUUUACAUCUGUGCACUGGCAGGUUGUGUUAUUGUCCAUAUAAGUAAAAAUGUACAUUAAUUUUCCAAAAAAUUGGACAUACUGUGUCUUCUGUACAAUUGAUAUAUCUGAAGAUCUGCAAGAAUGCUGUUAAAAGUGCAAGUCAUUCAUUUUGUCAAUUAAUCUUUUUCUUUUAUUUAAAUUUAUUGUUUAUAUCUCUUAAUUUUCAUAUGUUUAUUUAAUGUACACGGUAAAAUUGAUCUUUACAACUAAUUUUAAAUAAAUAUUUUUAAUAGGGUAUUUUUAUUAAGUUUCGUAGGUUUUUUUCUUAUAAGGGAGUUAACUCUGUAAAAAUUGUUAAUAACCAAAUUAUUAAAAAAAAAGUGUAGUAUUACGUUAAAAGUGUUUUUAAUUACAUUUUUAACUUCAUUAAACAUAUUUUCACUAUGAAAAGUGUUUUAAAAUAGUUUUAGCUAACAUUGUUUAAAGUUUAGUUUAAAGAAACAUAACACUUUUUUACUUCUGAAUUUAGUUAAUUUAGUCUUAAUUGUCACCCAUGUAGAUUACAGUGUACUUAGUUUUUUAUUCCUAGCAUAGAACAAUUGUGUAAAUUAUUUAUCUAUAUAGAUUUAUUUAUUAUUAAGUUUUAAGGAAUUCUACAAACUUGACAAAAAAGUGCAUCAUCGCUGCAAUUUAAUGAAUCAAAAAAUUUAUUUAUUAUUACAUUUAUAUUUUAAAAUUUCCUAAUAGAAGUUUUAGCACAAGUAAUGUAUCAUCAGCAAUAUCUGCAUCUCUAUUUCAUACAUUUUUAAAAAUGUAUUCAGACAUGCCUACCACUUGUGAUCACUUUAAUCAACAGUUUUUCUUAAAUAGCAAACAUUUAAGCCUCCAUGCAGAAUAUUAAAAUAUACAAUUUAAAAGUCUUUUAAUAGCCUAUCAGAGCAUAGUGUCGAAUUCACAAAUUAUGAAUAGUUGAUAAGUAAAAUAAAACAAUUAGAUAGCGGCGCAUGCUAAGUUAAUUUAUAUAGGCUAAAACAUGUUUAAUUUUUUUUAGAUUCUUCAGCUUGCCUCCCUUGUUUCCAAAUUGCUACUUUCUGUGUAACACUAAAUAGUACACCCUGUCCUGGGAUGUACAUCAUUGACUCAUUAGAAUCCCAUUAGAAUUUUUCUUCUUCCCACCAUAUUUUUACAGUUACAAGUGUAGGCGUAACUUUGUGAAACAACUCUGUACUUGGUAGGCAUGUCUGUAAUAUUAUUGCCAGAAAAUCACAAGCACAUUGAAUCAAACUUUUCCACAUCACAUUUGCAGCCACAGCAUUCAAAGUUACAGGAAUUCAUGUAAAAGUGAGUUUAAGAUCCGAGGUUUGCCACCUUCAUCAGAUGGGUUAGCUUUACGUUAGAUUAAAAAUUGUCUUACAAUACAUGUUAAAUUACAGUGUCUCCCAGUACUCAAAGAGUGUUAGAUAAUUUUACAACAUGUUGAUCUCAUUAUUCCUCACAGCUGGCAUUAAGUAGGAAGUGUGUUGAUAAUGUUACAAAUGGUCAAAUCUAAUUUUACUUUUGUUGAAAGCAUCUCUAUUCAUGUUUGUUUAAGUGUGUGCAUUAAUGUUGAUAUAAAAAGUGUCUUAAUUAAUGCUAGUUGAAAGUGUGUAAAUUAAUGUUACAGAUAAUCUGUUGUUUGAGCUCAAACAGAAAAUGUGAUCAAAUCCUUUUUAUUUAAGCAAUCCACCUUUUACAUAAACAAGAUUAAAAAUGAAAUAUAUGAUACAAUAGUAUCAAGAGCUUUACCUAUUAUUAUUUUAGCAUAAUAUUAAUUAGUAAAGAAUUUUACUGUAUUAAUUUUAGUAAAAUUUACCAGUACGUUUGCUUUAUAUUUUUUUAUAUACAUUAUUUACCAAAAUGUGCAUUAUGUUUUUUUUUUUUAUGCAACAUUCCUUCUGUCAUUAAUGUAAUGUGUGUUUCAAGUCUAAAACAUGUAAAACAUUCAUGUGAAAAUUGGCUUUGACUUUGUACAUAAAACACUUCUUGUAUAGGUGCUCUUGUGGUUAAUGCUUUUAGCUCAGUAUGCAGUAGCUAUCCUUUUAUUGUAGUAAAAGUUCUGCAGCUAUAUAUCCCUUGGGUAAAGUAACUUAACUGAGGUAUGCUAGUCUUCACUACAUAGAAUCAAAAUAUUUUACAAUAAAAACAUCUGGGCUAAAUAUCUUUAAAAACUUGUUCUCAAAAUUUGAAUUUCCCUGACUGUAAAAUCGCCUAAGCUAUGUUAUGUAAAUUCAUUAUAAUUAUUAAAAUUAGUUAAAAAUACAAGCAAUAACAGAAGUGGUUGUUAAAAUUUCCUUUGCAAUAUUUAUAAUAGUAUUUCAUGCCAAUACAUUCUUCCCCUAUUUUUGUUUGGUGUUGUUGCGUAUAGAAAUUUUCAACAACUUUUCAAUAUCCUGGGUGGUGGACUUUCAUACAAGUUGGGUUUUUUACAUUCAGAUUAAUAAAAAUGUUAAUCAAAUACUAAUUUGUGUAGCCAAAAGAUUGUUGUAAAGUUAUCUAGCAUGAACCCUAUUGGAACGUCUCAGUGUUGUUGGCUCAGGAAAUUUUGUACAUUUUUAUUUAAAUCCACACUUGUACAUUUUAACAUUUUUUUUUUGUUUGCAAUAAAAUAGACAGAUUAACACCUUGAG
This is a long non-coding RNA of Physella acuta, 3635 nucleotides long. RefSeq lists it as uncharacterized. NCBI's taxonomy places the organism in Eukaryota, Metazoa, Mollusca, Gastropoda, Physidae. The record is from RefSeq and is a predicted model, not a curated record.